Ailuropoda melanoleuca (giant panda) is the source of this 225-nucleotide long non-coding RNA. RefSeq lists it as uncharacterized. The transcript has 3 exons. NCBI's taxonomy places the organism in Eukaryota, Metazoa, Chordata, Mammalia, Carnivora, Ursidae. The record is from RefSeq and is a predicted model, not a curated record.
AUUCAGUUUUGUCACCCAAGAACCUAAGAAGAAAUCUGGAACACAAUAUGCCUGAUUUCACCGGAUGAUGGAAUUGGAAGAGACUCUAGAAUUCAAAUUUUCCAAAGCCUCUCACUAUACAGAAAACCCAACUUCUACGUUAAAAAUCCUGUGUGGCAGAAACGGAGGAGGACACAAAGGAAAAGACGACAAGUGUGAGGCUGUGACUCAGCUGAACCAGAAAGA